RNAcentral lists this ribosomal RNA (406 nucleotides) under uncultured bacterium. RNAcentral's name for it is "partial 16S ribosomal RNA". It matches the Rfam family "Bacterial small subunit ribosomal RNA", at positions 28 to 526 of the family's 1533-position model. The record is from RNAcentral.
GAUGAACGCUAGCUACAGGCUUAACACAUGCAAGUCGAGGGACCGGCGCCCGGGUGAGUAACACGUAUCCAACCUGCCCCUUACUCGGGGAUAGCCUUUCGAAAGAAAGAUUAAUACCCGAUAUUACGGAUGGGCAUGCGUUCCAUGAGGUUGUUGGUGACGUAACGGCACACCAAGCAUUCAAUGGAUAGGGGUGCUGGGAGGCAGUUACCCCACGAUGGAACUGAGACACAGUCCAAACGCGUACGAGAGGCAGCAGUGAGUAAUAUUAGUCAAUGAGCGCUAGCCUGAACCUGCCAAGUGGCGGAAAGGAGGAAUGCUUAUGGGUCGGAAACUGCUUUUAGAGAAGAAUAGGUAGUAUAUGAAUAAGGAGCGGCUAACUCCGUGCCAGCAGCCGCGGUAAUAG